GAUCAUGGCUCAGGAUGAACGCUGGCGGCGUGCCUAAUACAUGCAAGUAGAACGCUGAAGCUUGGUGCUUGCACCGAGCGGAUGAGUUGCGAACGGGUGAGUAACGCGUAGGUAACCUGCCUCUUAGCGGGGGAUAACUAUUGGAAACGAUAGCUAAUACCGCAUAAAAGUCGAUAUCGCAUGAUGUUGAUUUGAAAGGUGCAAUUGCAUCACUAAGAGAUGG
RNAcentral lists this ribosomal RNA (223 nucleotides) under uncultured bacterium. RNAcentral's name for it is "partial 16S ribosomal RNA". It matches the Rfam family "Bacterial small subunit ribosomal RNA", at positions 15 to 228 of the family's 1533-position model. The record is from RNAcentral.